GUGGGGAAUAUUGCACAAUGGGCGCAAGCCUGAUGCAGCCAUGCCGCGUGUAUGAAGAAGGCCUUCGGGUUGUAAAGUACUUUCAGCGAGGAGGAAGGCAUUAAGGUUAAUAACCUUGGUGAUUGACGUUACUCGCAGAAGAAGCACCGGCUAACUCCGUGCCAGCAGCCGCGGUAAUACGGAGGGUGCAAGCGUUAAUCGGAAUUACUGGGCGUAAAGCGCACGCAGGCGGUCUGUUAAGUCAGAUGUGAAAUCCCCGGGCUCAACCUGGGAACUGCAUUUGAAACUGGCAGGCUUGAGUCUUGUAGAGGGGGGUAGAAUUCCAGGUGUAGCGGUGAAAUGCGUAGAGAUCUGGAGGAAUACCGGUGGCGAAGGCGGCCCCCUGGACAAAGACUGACGCUCAGGUGCGAAAGCGUGGGGAGCAAACAGGAUUAGAUACCCCAGUAGUCC
This 450-nucleotide ribosomal RNA is filed under the name uncultured bacterium. Its description in RNAcentral is "partial 16S ribosomal RNA". It matches the Rfam family "Bacterial small subunit ribosomal RNA", at positions 354 to 796 of the family's 1533-position model. The record is from RNAcentral.